Molecule: long non-coding RNA, 472 nt
Filed under: Chinchilla lanigera (long-tailed chinchilla)
Lineage: Eukaryota; Metazoa; Chordata; Mammalia; Rodentia; Chinchillidae
Description: lncRNA (ENSCLAG00000024673.1)
Source: RNAcentral
UGUCACUAAGCCCACGGUUCCAACCUUGCUUAAACCUAACACAGAGUGAUUCUGUGUUGUACUUUUUAAAGGAGGGAAAAGUCUUCAAGACUUGAACAAGGAAUCUGGAUCAUCAGUCAAGAUGGUAGGAGAAGUCUAGGAGUCAAAGAGUCUGCUACUUCAUGCAAAUCAUUGCAAAACUCCCCACAGUGUGAUCCAAAUGCUGUUUGUCAGUGUGCCAGUCCAGCCCUUCUCUUCUCAGACGUGGGGACAGGGGAGAGGCUGGCGUGGAGUGGUGUCUGAUGAGACUCGUCACAAUGAACAGACCUUGUUAAUAUCAUCCAAUGCAGAAAUCCCUGUGUUAAACACUGGGGAAAAUAUAAAGAAGAGGAAGUUCAGAUUACAUAAAGAAAAUUCCUUUUCGCCGAUCACAAUUAGUGUACUACGUGACCUGGGAGACGUUAUGUCACAUCCCUCAUCUGUUUUCUUUUGA